ACGAACGCUGGCGGCGUGCUUAACACAUGCAAGUCGCACGGAAAGGCCCUGCUUUUGUGGGGUGCUCGAGUGGCGAACGGGUGAGUAACACGUGAGUAACCUGCCCUUGACUUUGGGAUAACUUCAGGAAACUGGGGCUAAUACCGGAUAGGAGCUCCUGCUGCAUGGGGGGGGUUGGAAAGUUUCGGCGGUUGGGGAUGGACUCGCGGCUUAUCAGCUUGUUGGUGGGGUAGUGGCUUACCAAGGCUUUGACGGGUAGCCGGCCUGAGAGGGUGACCGGCCACAUUGGGACUGAGAUACGGCCCAGACUCCUACGGGAGGCAGCAGUGGGGAAUAUUGCACAAUGGGCGGAAGCCUGAUGCAGCAACGCCGCGUGCGGGAUGACGGCCUUCGGGUUGUAAACCGCUUUCGCCUGUGACGAAGCGUGAGUGACGGUAAUGGGUAAAGAAGCACCGGCUAACUACGUG
Molecule: ribosomal RNA, 467 nt
Filed under: uncultured bacterium
Lineage: Bacteria
Description: partial 16S ribosomal RNA
Rfam family: Bacterial small subunit ribosomal RNA
Source: RNAcentral